RNAcentral lists this long non-coding RNA (457 nucleotides) under Mytilus galloprovincialis (Mediterranean mussel). Lineage: Eukaryota; Metazoa; Mollusca; Bivalvia; Mytilida; Mytilidae. The record is from RNAcentral.
GUUUUGUACCGGAUGUCGUAUAUUUACAGACUGAUCGGUCAGAAUAUAAAAAUCAAGAUAUGGCCAUGAGACAAAUCUUCACAAGAGACUACAUAACACAGAUAUUAACAACUAUAGGUCCCGUACGGCCGCCAACAAUGAGCAAAGCCCAUACCACAUCGUCACUUAUAAAAAACCUCGAAAUUACAAUUGUAAAACAAUUCAAAAGAAUAACUAAAGGUCUAAUCAAUGUACAAAAAAGAACAAAAAACAAAUAAGUAACACUGCAAACAUGUAAACGACGACUACUGCCUUACAGGCUCCUGAUUUGGGACAGGCACAUACAUACAUAAUGUGGCGGAGUUAAACAUGUAACCUGGGACAGUUGUGUAACAGUACAACAUAAGAAAGAACUACAAAAAUCAGUUGAAGAGGAUUAACUCAUCAGUUUAAUACAAAUAGAAACACAUCAGAGUGG